UAAUACGUAGGGUGCGAGCGUUAAUCGGAAUUACUGGGCGUAAAGCGUGCGCAGGCGGUUUUGUAAGACAGAUGUGAAAUCCCCGGGCUUAACCUGGGAACUGCGUUUGUGACUGCAAGGCUAGAGUACGGCAGAGGGGGGUGGAAUUCCUGGUGUAGCAGUGAAAUGCGUAGAUAUCAGGAGGAACACCGAUGGCGAAGGCAGCCCCCUGGGCCUGUACUGACGCUCAUGCACGAAAGCGUGGGGAGCAAACAGG
This 256-nucleotide ribosomal RNA is filed under the name uncultured bacterium. RNAcentral describes it as "partial 16S ribosomal RNA". It matches the Rfam family "Bacterial small subunit ribosomal RNA", at positions 521 to 776 of the family's 1533-position model. The record is from RNAcentral.